AAGUCUGACAGGCUUGAAGAAGUCUGGGCAUUAUUUGGACAAAGCCCUCAGGCACAGGGUGUGAUUCUUGGGGAUGUCCUGUCCAGGGCCAGGAUCUGGACUUGAUGAUCCUGAUGGGUCCCUUGAGCUCAGCACAUUCUGUGAUUCUGUUGGAAUACAGUCAGUGGUAAAUUGGACAAGUUAGGGCACAGGUAGAUUUAGUGCAAGCAGUAGAGAGGCCCUGAAGACUCAGGGAUAACAGAGAACACAGCAGUCAUUUGCUACACACCUAAUGCAAAUGCUAGAAUGGGUCUGUUGCAACAACUCCACCUAUUCAAUCAUUUGAAUAAUUUGAGGCAUUUGGCUUCCUUACCCUUUCAGAAGCAGUCUGAGUGCUGCUUUUGCUGACAGCCAUUCAUUCACGUGUCUCUUCAGGACAGCUCAUGAAUCUGCUUGCACCUCCUUAGCUCCCAGGCCACCUCUUCUCUCAUGCUCCUUCCUCCCUUUGAAAUUCUCUUAUUGGAGGCCCAAAGAUGGCAGUCUCCUGCCCCAGACCACCUGGGGAAAAUGGUCUUUACUGAAAUGGAAGAUAUCUGCCAGUUCCCUUCUGAGAUGCUUCCUUGAUUGGCUGCCUGCAGGGAGCCCAAGGCAGCUCUGAGCCCCAGAUUGCUCAGUUGUUUGGGGCUGUCCCAGCGGACAGCAUCCCUUGGAAGGCCACAGGGAGGUGUGUGUGUUUUGCUCAGAUCCUGAACAGCCAAAGGGGCUCCUCACGUUGCAAGGCAGCAGCCAGGUGCCACAAGGAACCAGCUCUCAGGUAAGCCCUGGGCUACAGCUUCUGCAGCAAAGCUGCAUUCAUGUAUCCUUUGCAAAGGAAUGAAUUAAAAUUGUUCUUGUAAUGAUUUUAGUGGGAUUUUGAAUUGCUUUUGUAACAUUAAAAAAGAGACAAUGCUACUCUUUUG
Molecule: long non-coding RNA, 938 nt
Filed under: Junco hyemalis (dark-eyed junco)
Lineage: Eukaryota; Metazoa; Chordata; Aves; Passeriformes; Passerellidae
Description: lncRNA (ENSJHYG00000009711.1)
Source: RNAcentral